Molecule: ribosomal RNA, 253 nt
Filed under: uncultured bacterium
Lineage: Bacteria
Description: partial 16S ribosomal RNA
Rfam family: Bacterial small subunit ribosomal RNA
Source: RNAcentral
UACAGAGGCCACGAGCGUUAGGCGGAAUCACUGGGCUUAAAGCGUGUGUAGGUGGAUGACUAAGUACCUUGUGAAAUCCCACGGCUCAACCGUGGAACUGCUUGGUAUACUGGUUGUCUUGAGGCACUCAGGGGCGAGCGGAACAGAUGGUGGAGCGGUGAAAUGCGUAGAUAUCAUCUGGAACGCCAAUGGUGAAGACAGCUCGCUGGGGGUGUACUGACACUGAGACACGAAAGCCAGGGGAGCAAACAGG